Molecule: long non-coding RNA, 734 nt
Organism: Rhagoletis zephyria (snowberry fruit fly)
Lineage: Eukaryota; Metazoa; Arthropoda; Insecta; Diptera; Tephritidae
Source: RefSeq, a predicted model, not a curated record
CUGUGUACUGAUAUUAAACAUAAUCAGUGCGUAUAAGAAAAAAUAAACUAAAAUUUAAGCGAAUGGAAAUUUGAUCCAACCUGCCUUUUUAGAGACUCCAAAGCUGGCAAUCCACCAACUACUCAAGAGUGAAGUGCACUUUCAAUCAAUAAUACAAACGAAUAAUGUAUGCAUAAGCCACUUACCGAACCAGCCAGUCAACCCACAAGCAAUCGAUAUAGUAAUACAUACAUACAUAAAGGCACAUCCCUACCCCUGCCGGGAUGGAUGUAUUGCACGAAAGGCAAACAUAUGACUGAAAUAUUAGUUUUUACCAAUUAAUAUUUAGAAAUAGUAAUGAUUAUCAUAGAAUCAUGUGUGCCUCAAGAAAGUGGGUGUGUUCCUAUUAGACGAGUGUAUAUGUAUGUAUGGAUAAAUCAUGCAAACGCCAAGCAGACAUGCCUUCAUACAUAUGUACAUAUUUAAAUAUACAUUUGUACAUAAUAAUAAACAUUGAUCAAUCAUUCUCAUUUGUAAUCCUUUAAUCGCUAAGAUAUUUACUACUGCGUAUUUAUUUACAUAUAUGUAUAAUUAUUUUGUUAUUGUCAAAACGCAACAAUGGUUUAUGUGAGUUCUUACACUCACGCAGUAGGUACAUGAUAAACUACAUACACAGGAGUAGUUGUAAAUGAGAGCAGCGAGCGGGCGAAUAUGUAAAAUCUAUGACAGCAAUGGCAUAAAUAAAGACGCAUGAA